This 10371-nucleotide long non-coding RNA is filed under the name Nicotiana tabacum (common tobacco). RNAcentral describes it as "long non-coding RNA (NTAB_LNC017129)". The record is from RNAcentral. Lineage: Eukaryota; Viridiplantae; Streptophyta; Magnoliopsida; Solanales; Solanaceae.
UAACUUUAUCCUAGCAAUUUUAGUGAUUUUUAAUAUACAUACUUAUACUUCAUAUCAGAAAUGUUGGGAUCAUUGAACCCCAACUUAUGGUAUAUCUUCCAGUGCUAUUAAUUUUAAUACAAAUAAUUAUUUUAACUAUAUAAAAUUUUGCGACACUAAUUAUUACAAUAUAUAUAUAUAUAUAUAUAUAUAAAAGAAUAUUUUAAGAAUAUAACGUUGUUAUACAUAAUAUAAAAAAAUGAGCAUGUGUUCAUGUGCACCAUGUUGCGCCACAUAGAUAAGGUAUGUUGUAUGUGUGUAUGUUUUUGGUUACUUCCUAUAUCUUGAGGCUUUCGCGUGAUUUGAGUUUUUCUCAUGUCCGUAUUAUAUGAUUUGAUUUUCUUUUUUCCAUUAUUAUACCCCUCUUUCACAUUUCUGAAUGACAUUACACUAUAAAAGAAAGAAAUCCCAGUUUGUCAUGGCUGUGUUUGCUCGGUUCUUUUCUUUAUGAUCAAUCAGUACAUAUUUGCUGUCAUAUCAAACCUUAGUUUUCUUAUUUUCUGCUUUAUAUAUAUAGGACAUGACACUUCAAUAUUUCACACGGACUAUAAAAAUCUUGGGUUCACUAAUUCAAGCUCGAACCAAGACUAGGGGUUCGACCUAACACCGAGCUCGAGCCAGUGCCAAGCUCGCAGACAAGAGCCGUUACAAUCGCAUCGAGGGAGAGAAUCUUGACGAGAAUCAAGGAAGAGACAAACCAUCAUGGGUCAUCCACUAUAUGUAUUAUUUUAUUAUGUUGUUAUAGAUAAAGCAGCUAUCCUCUACUAUAAAAAGGGGGAUAGACUGCAAUAGAGGCAAGUUCUCCAAGAUACAUUAAGAUUUCAUUGUGUUUGUUUUUCUAAUUCAUUUCAGUCUUCCCGUCCAUCAUUCCCAUUUUAUAGCAAAAAUACCUGUAUUGUCAUUUCGUAUCAAAGGGAUUCGCUUACCCUUAGAACCAUAUCUAAAUUUAACAUUAUCCGAUUUUUCGUGUAAACAAGAGCUAAACCCAUGCAUCUCAUGUAGUGUUAUUUUAGUUACCCCGAAAAGCUGGAUCUUUGCGUGUUUGGUAUUGAAAAUCCUUAUGUGUUCAGGAAAGCUCAUCUCAGAACUCGACUUACGAUCAAUAAGCGCUCGGAACACAUCCCUUCUCUUCGAUACUCUUGUCAAGGAGUUGUCCUAUUUAUAGAUUUUAAGUGGGACUCUACUUAUUAUGUUUUGAACCCGCUAACACAAGAGGAAGUAACAGUACAACAUACACUUCAUCCAGGCUGCUUAUGUGCUCUUUAUUUUUGUCCAUUAACAAGACAAUUCAAGCUUCUUUAUGAACAAGAGCGAGGCAGUUGCUUUCAAUAUUUAGUAUACAUAUUCAAGACGAGAACUUGGAGAAAAAUUCCUUCAUCCACUUUCAACUUGUUGCCACAUUACUUUCCAGUAGAUGUUAAUGGAGCAUUGCAUUGGAUCACGCACCUUGAUUCAGAGGAAAAAGGUAGUCCUAUUUGUGCAAAUGCAAUCAUGGUGUUUAGAAUGGAUAAGGAGGAACUCUCUUCUAUGCCUCAUCCUGGAAGUGUGUGCAACUCAGAGCAAUUAGGGCAUCAUAGUAUGACUGUCUUAGCGAAGGAGGAUCGUUUGGCUUUGUGUCACUUGCAUAUUUAUCGGUAUGCAGUGGAUAUAUGGAUCUUGGAGGAAUAUGAAAUGAGGAGAUGGAGAAAAAGGUACAAGGUUAAUCUCAUUCAUGAGACAAUUUUCCCGUUUCGUUUCCCUUUCAACGAAAUACGAUGGCUUAGGGAGCUGUAUUUGUGGAUAAAUCUUUUGAGCAUCCAAGAUGGUGAACUCCUACUUUACAUAUACGGCAAGGGGUACUUUUUGUAUAAUUUAGAUCAUAAUACCAUAAAGAGUAUCGAAGGGCCGCAAGGGGAAAUGUUUUCACAGAGACUCAAUUGUAGUAGGCCUUAUAUAAAGAGCCUCCUCACUAUUGCCUGACUUUGCGCUCUUUUAAUCUUAUGCAUUAAUUUCAUUUCUAAUCAUUGUGAUGUUGUUUUCAAUUAUCACAUGGUGUUUUUAACAUAGUUGGUACACUUGGUAGUUUUGUGCAUAUUUUAGAGGUGGGAUGCAGCUUAUUCCAUUUGCCUCAAACGCUGAAAUACUACUCUAGAGGAGAUGGCAAAUCUUAUGACCUAAAUAAACAAGCUGGUGGGGCAUGCAUGCAUGAUUAUCUUAAAGGAUUUUGAUUGUCAAAUUGACUAGACUUUUCUCUAAACUCGCCUAUACAUUAUACUUUGUGAUAAAGUAAGGUGCUUUCAGUUUGGUUCAGUCUUGUUCCAACCCAUCCAAAUUUGUGUUUCGAGGCACAUAAAUACAUGUAACACGGUUAUGUCAAUGUCAGUUAGAGUAGAGGUUCCAUGUGUUUGUGGUUUAAUUUCUUGCAUAUGGGAAUUGAAAAGGAAGAACUCAAAGAGAGAGCAUCGAACUAUGACUCUCUUACUGAAAGGCAUGUUUUUGAGUAUGCAUGCAGUGGAUAUAUGGAUUUUGGAGGACUAUGAAAAGCGGAAAAAGGAGCAAAAGCUACAGGGUUAAUCUCUUAAUUGGAUGAGAACAAUUAAUAUUCCCUUGUUGAUUGCCUUACAGCCAAAUGGAUAAAGGGAAAUGUUUGUGGAAAUAAACUGAUAUUUUACUUGUCUGACAGAGUGUAUUCCCUUAUAUAAAGAGUCUCCUGCCCACAGCCUAAUUACUCCUCUCGCUCUUUAUCUUUCUAAUUUCUGUUGUUGCUUUUAAUUAUCAAAUGGUACUUGUAGCUGAAUUGGUAGUAUUGUGCAUAAUGUAUGUUUAAGCGUCGAUCCAGCUUAUAAUUAUUCCUUUCGCCCCCAAAUGCUGAAAUAUAAUUCUAAAGGGUCGUUUGGGGUAAAAACAAGUUAUACUAAUACAUGGAUUAAUAAUGCAGGAAUUAGUAAUACGCAGAUUAAUAAUACUUUCAAAACUGAUAUACUUUGCGAUUUCAUGACUCACUUUGCAUGCUUUAAUCUAGUUUUACCAUCUAGACGACCAUAACUCAAGUCCCAUCGUUUUUUUUUAGCCAAUUACAUAGACAACCCUUUAAAGUUGAUGCUAAUUUUUAUUUUAACACAUCAAUUUACAUUUGUACUUAUUGAACACUUAAUUUAUUAUUAAAGCUUGCCUAUUGAACACAAAACAUUGAUAUGGCACAAAGAAUGACUCUAACUUAUAUUUGGGCGCGCGAGCACUUUCUACUAUACUUUCAUGGCUAAAGAAAAUACCAUCAUCCUUUAUCUCUAACACCUUCUUGUUCCUCCAUCUCGCUCCUCCUUUCCUCCUAUCUCAAUAAUGUGGAGGUGAGAAGGGAGGUAGGGAAGACAAAGGUGGCGACAAUGUGGCCAAGGGAGGUAAGAGGGGGGUGAGGAGGUAGUGUGAUAGGCUAUAUGUAUAUCCCUUUUAUGUUUUGAUGAUCUAAAAUACUUACUGUUAAGAACGAGAUAUGGAAUCUGUUACACAUUCUCAAGACCUUAAGAUCAAAAGGUUCCAGCUUGGGAUAUGGUUCAACUUUUCAGAGUCAAAGGAACAACAUAGGGAACAAAUAGCUACCGUUUCCCGAGGAAACUGCACAAGUCAACUGCCCCAGCUGUAAAGUUACUGUCUGCACAUGCUACAGUGCAACAGUCAACUUUAUGGGGAGUGUCUUUUACCUACCUUGCUUACAUCAUCCUAGUGANNNNNNNNNNNNNNNNNNNNNNNNNNNNNNNNNNNNNNNNNNNNNNNNNNNNNNNNNNNNNNNNNNNNNNNNNNNNNNNNNNNNNNNNNNNNNNNNNNNNNNNNNNNNNNNNNNNNNNNNNNNNNNNNNNNNNNNNNNNNNNNNNNNNNNNNNNNNNNNNNNNNNNACUUUGUAAUAGUUCUUCAAUUGUAAUUCCUACUUAGCUUGUUUAGAAGCAUUGCGUAGGAAACCCUUUGUAAAUCCUAAACCCUUGUGUUUGUGUCUUGGCUAGAGUUAGUCGAGUUUUAAAGUCUUUGUAAUAGAGUUAUUACAAAGUGGCUUGUAAUCGAGUGUUACAAGUUAGUGAGGGAUUAAGAGGUUAAUUCCUAGGUUACAUAGGUUGUAUCUGAAAGUUGCUUAGUAGUGAAAUUGAAAUCCUACAAGGGUAGGUUGUGGUUUUUAAUCCCGUUGAGUUGGGAAUUUUCCACGUAAAAUUCCUCCUGUCAUUUACUCACUGCAGUGUGCGUGAUUUCUGUGGGAACUUAUAGAGAACUUGGUUCUCUAUAUAGUUUGGUUGACCCUUAAAUUCUACCACAGUGGGUCUAAUCUAAAGAGUAAAGGAGGAGUAUUCUUUUUAUUGAUAUGACUUUCUUUGAUUGGUUAUAUAGCCACACAAGGGCGGAGCUAGUAGAGACCUUCCUAUCUGGCCCCACACUUCAAAUGACCUCUUCUCCACUAGUUCUGUCUACAAACUCAUUGUCCCUAGUGACACCAAUUAUCAAUGGAUUUGGGACCUUUAUACGCUAAACAAAAUUAAAGUUUUCCUUUGGCAAUGCUUCCGUGGGCGCCUUCUUACUAAUAAUUUGUACCACAUGCCCUGUCUGUAAUCGUAGAGAUAAAUCCAUCCGCCACAUCUUCCUAGAGUGCAUCAUUGCAAAGCAUUUUUGGACAGAUAUUAAAGUCACUAUUCCUCCACAAUCAUACCAUAAUCACUGGCUACUCAUACUGAAGGAUCUCCGGAGUCCUCUAACCAAUCCCCUCUUACCGUCUUACGUUGGGACGUUUUCUUCCCCUUUGUAUUAUGGCACCUAUAGCUUAAUAGGAAUAUAUCUUCAAUAAUUUAGCCAACACACUCAAUCUGGGACUUGUCAUCAUGCGAUCCUUAGAGUUCCAGACCAGUCCGAUUUGAGGAGUAGGGUAAAGGGUACUGAAAGUGUACCUAAAAAAGUACCCUUAGAACCGAUCUGAACCGGUACCCUUAGAACUAUUUAAUUUUUAAGAAAUAGCUGGCCGUUUUGUACCAUUAGUAAACAUCUAUUUAUUAAAAGAUAGCCAUUGGCAACAACAAAAAAAAGGCUAUUUUUGCCUUCGUGCCCUCUAAUACCCCCAACCCUUAAUUUUGUUUUUAAACCAUAAAUUUAUUAAAUUACACAUUGGUCCUAUUUUAAAACUAUAAAUGCCUCUUUUCAUUCAUUCAUUUUUCACACAAAGCUCUCUUAUCUAUCUCUAUCUCUCUCGUUCUAAAUGCAAUUUAUAUUCUAUCACUCUAUUAUUUUGCUCUAAUUCUGUAAUAUUUUUUCCUUGAUACUACACCACUAUUUCUUCCAUCAACAUCAAUUAUACGUCAGCAUCUGAUACACUUUUUCCAAUUUUAAUUCGCUAUCGCAUUUAUUUUUGUUAUACCGGUAUUGCUAUUUGUUCUGAGAAAAAUGGCUCCUAGAGAUGUAAGAAAAAUAUUUAGUAAAUUGACUAAGGGUAAUGCUAGUUCUAGUAAUCCUAAUCCUAUUGUUGACUUCACUCACGUAGAUGGAAUACCUUUAUAUUAGUAUUAAUUAUCAAUCACUUGUAUACGAAGCGCUAGAAGCACAAUAUUGCGAUUUUGAGAAUUUGAGUGAGGAUGAAGGAGAAAGAAUGAUAACUUAGAUGAAACAUCCACUAGUCGGCCAACUUCAACUUAGAGUCAAUUUCAAUUUGGAGUUGGUGGUCCUUUACCUCCUACUAGACAACCAGUUGAGCAUAAAAAAAAUUUGAAAAUGGUUUACUCAGGAUAAAGCUAAUGAAUAGGCUAUUCGUGCUUUUAUAAAUAACGAUUAUCUUUUAAAGAUAGAGUAGGUCAUGGCGGGCUGGUGGUUUAAAAAAGAAUAUGAAAAUUCAUCAUAAAGAGGUUUGGCUUGUUGGGAAGGGCGUCCGCGUUGCGAUUCAAUUCCCACCCAGUCCAGACAUGGUUCUCAUACUGUGCAAUCGCAAAUUAACCAUGUGACUGUAGGUAACCAAAACACUAGAGUUGUGUAAAAAUAUUACCAAAUAUUAAUUAUCACUGUAGCGCCAACUACUUCUACCUAUUCAUCAUCAUCGCAACCUCUUGAAAAAAUGCAGCACAGAGACCUUUUAGUGUUAUUCGACAAAUGAUUAGUCAAUCUCAAUCUUCACAAAUUAACGAGCUUGAUGUUUAUAUAAUGCAAGAAAUUAUUGAUAUUUGUGAUGAUGAAGAAAAUAAAAACUUACUAAAAUAUUGGAGAAUCGACGAACUAACAUUUUUGAUUAUUUCAAGAAUGACAAGAGAUGUGUUAACUAUUCCAGCUUCAUCAAUAGCUUCUGAAAGCACUUUCAGAGCAACACGAUUUUAAAUUGGAGACCACAGAUACUCGAUGGCAGAAGAUACCUUAGAGAAUAACGCCUUAUUUAAAGAUCAGAUUAAGGCGGAGAGAAGAAACUUUGGCCUUCCAAAAAAUAAUUCAAGAAGAUGAUGAUGCUUAUAAUGAAAUAGUUGUAUAGGAUAAAAUUGGUUAGCGAUCGAUAGUUGGACUAAUACCGAGAUGACACAUAAAACUGAAGACAGGUAAGAAGUGAAUCAAAUAAUAGUUGGCACCGCAUACAAGCAUGUGACCGGUGCUGAGUGAAUUCCAAAGGAAUUAAAAUCGAGAACAAAGAUUUAAAAGGAAGAUGUCGGUUGGGAAAGACAGCAUUCAAUGAACGUCUGUUACAAAGAAUCUUAUAUUAAUGACCAACAAUUAUGCAGUCUUUUCUCAUUCAAAAGGAGCUUGAUUUGCGGGCCUUGUCUCCCUAAAUAGAGCUAUAAAUAUGAGAAUUAUAAUCCAUUGUAAGACACGAAAAUAUCAUCUGUACUCAAAGGCUAUAUUUUGCUCUCAUAUUGUAAAAUUAUUUGCUUUCUUUUGUUCUCAAAAUUGUUCAUAUUAUUGCUUCCGGGGAGGCUCAUCAUAUAAUCAGGCUUGUAUUUAUUUUAUAAUCUUUACUUUAUCUUUAUUUAUCUCAUAUUUUUGGAUCAAAAUUAUUCACUUACCUAUAAACCACGUUACAAAUUUAACUGUAUCGUUUUAUGGGUAAACAGUUUGGCACCCACCGUUGGGCCUAGACAAUUAUAAUUGCUUUGAUCCAUUCAUCUGUUACUAAUGUUGGAGUACACAACGAACGUGAGUAUGUGUUCCAACGUAAUGAUUCAACUAGCGAAACCCGCAAUGAAGGAGAUGGAAUAACUCCAGUUCGUGAAGGGUCAAAAUCCUUGGCACGUGAGGAACCCAACUCUUGAUGAUGCGGAUGAUGAACACAUUGUGGAAACGUUCAAAAUCUUGAGAGAACAACAAAGGAAAAUUAUGAAUCACCUCUCAAGGUAAGACCACAUGAUGACGGAGUUGAAGCAUGCGCUCUCGGUUAUUUCCAAUAAUUCUAAUGGAGGAGUUUGAAUUCCUCACAGCGUGCCUGCAAAUCAAACAGUUCAAAGAACCGGUAAUGACGCUCCAAGGGAGGAGUUCGAUUUUAACGAGGCAGUAGGUACCGGUAGUGGAUUUUGGAACGACAACAAUGCUAAUGGCCCUUUUAAAACCGAGCUUAUGAGAUUCAUGAGAAAAAUGAAUGAACGAAUGGAUCAAAAUGCUAAAAAAAAUCCAUGCUCUGAUGGAUCAUAUCUCUUGAGCGUCGUCGGUGCUAAAGGGACCGGAUUCCAAGAAGUAUACACAAUUGUCGUUCAAACCAAGUGCAACCUUAGAGUUGAUUCCAAAAAGGUUUAAGAUGCCGGAUAUUCCGAAGUAUGAUGGGACUUCGGAUUCACAGGAACAUAACACGACCUACUUUAUGGCUAUAAAGGGAAAUGACUUGUCCCAGCACGAGAUAAAAUCUGUCUUGUUGAAGAAAUUUGACGAAACCCUGACGAAGGGUGCUUUAACUUGGUAUUCCCUUUUACCUGAGCAUUGUUAUACCCCAUGUUAACACGUGUCAAAACUAAGUAUAACAUAUUGGCAUAUCCAAGGUUUAAUUAAUUAAUAGAGUCGUCACCUAAUUAUUUUAACAGUGAAUUAGGACACCAAUUUUAGCUAAAUAAUGCUUAAAGUUAACUCAAUUUUAUGGUUUGCUUAAACUUAAAAAUUCUAGGUAAGGGUUCUAAUUAAUCCUAUCGGGAAGGUUAUUAAGACACCCUAUAUGAUCCACUAAUUACGGUUAACCGGUCAAACUUUAGGUUGUUAAUUAAUAAGUAAAAAUAGAAAGCUAUCAAAAUCUGAUUAAAGAAAACUUAUCGUUUUACGAAGCGGUGAGAACUUGUUUUCAAAGAAAAGUUUUAUGAAAAAAAGGUUUUGUUUCUUUUAAAUUAUAUUUGACUCAAAUUUUGUAUUAAGAAAUCUGACUGUUAAGUGAUAAAGGAACUUGGUUUAAGACUGAUUUACAAAUUGAUGCCUCCUAAAUCUAAUAUCUUGUAUAAAAAAUUAGUAUAGCAAAUUAUUUUAAAUCUCUUGACUUUAAAAUCUUUAAAGUAGAAGUUGUAUAAAAAUAAGUAUUUUACUAAUAAUUAGUCUGGAGAUACUAUGUGAUUUAAUAAGGCAUAGCUAUUUAAUUCUAUGUUAAUAAUAAGCUCCAACAAAAAUCUCAAAAUAGGACGAUAAAUAAAAGAAGGACGCCAUAGACGGCUAGACGCCCCGAGCGUUUCGCUUGUUUUCUUGCUAUCUGGUGCACUCUAUGGAAGACGAUAUGGGAUGCGAUGACUCCAUGCUCGGGCACUGUUGAGUCUCGAGUGAGACUCCGGCCGGUUUUGCUCCAAGUGCAUAUGCAAAGAAAAGAAAAUUAGAGAAGAAAACAUAAUUCUUAAUACAUGUGACGAUGAAACAUACAAGUCAAGAAUGACAAUUAUCUCCUUAAAUCUGAAAUAUUCCACGAACUAGAACGAAACAGUAGUAUACUACAUACAAGCAAUUCUACUUUAAAACAGCACUCUAAGUGCCUUUUUGAAGUUUUUCUUUUUAGAUCAACCUAACAAACAAAGUGGGAUUUACACUUCCUUAAGGCCAUUAACAACAGUUAAACUUGACUCUUAAAGGUACAUAGGAGAUGACAGCAGCAAAAACCAUACUUUGUUCAACAAACACAUGCUAACAGGUUUCACUUUUACCAUUAAUACUUAAGAUAUCAUAUAUACAUGCUAUCAUGAUUACUAACUUAUUAUUUAACAAUCAUAUGAUCCUUAAGUGCAGGCAGAAUUGAUAUCAAUUCCUGAAGGGGGUGUUUAGCACAUAGCCCUGCACUCACACUUAACUAGUUAUUAGGGAUGUCAUGUGAACCAUGUUAUAAUGAAGAAACAAUAAUAUUUCUUAAGGUAUACUAGUAGGUUCCUAUUUUGUUUAUGAAUUUGAUUUCAUUACAGUGAAGGAGCACAAAUAGAUUUUUUUUAAAAAGAAUUCAGGUUCUUUGUCAUCAACAGAUUGUCUCAAACUGAAGUAUUACUAUGCUAAUGGAUAAUGACCAUACUUUCUAUGGCAACAAAUCCAUAAGUCAUGACUUCUGGUUAACAACUUAUAUUUUAGAAAAAAAUAAGAUUUCUACAGCAUACAAUGCUUCACAUAGUCUAAUAACUUAAUCCAGAAUAAUAUUAUAAAGAAAUCUUAGUCCGCGUUCACUUGUUCACAAACAACAUGAAACAUUGAAUGGAAGCAUGAUAAAUCUUUAUUUCCUAGUUUCUAAUCAAAGAUCAGAAAAGAGAACUCACACUUAUUUUUACUAAAGAACUCAAAUAUUACUUGGAGCAGAUAAAAGGAUAAAGGGAGAUCACUGACCUUUUUGCGGGCAGUGAACUAGGAGCGUCGUCGAUCAACUAUCGCACUUCGACCUCAGACUCGCUACCUCGGCUGAGCAAAAGAAAAAGCCCCUCUGUUUUGAAAUUGAAAACCAAAAAGAGAAAGAGUUGGUCGAGCUAGGAUUUUAGAAAAUUAGUGAGUUUCAGAGAAGGAGGAGGCGGCUCCCCGGUGGAUCGAAAAUGAGUUCCAAAGCAGAUAUUUAAAGAUAGAAGUUAAGGUUCUUCUAGGUUAGUUUGGGCGAGCAACUUUUGAGUGGGGUUAUGGUUCAAAAAUUGAACGUUGAGAUCCGAACGUUACCAUUUUUGAAGAGCUCAGCAGAAAUCAAAAGAAAACAUGAGAUUCCUUGGUCAAAAUCCUAAGCUUUCAGGGAUUUGCUUCAGAUCUUUUACCCAAAUGGUAAGAUAUGCUCUGUUAUGGAAAGAGUGAAGGUCAAGACUUAGCCAAAAUUGGAGGAAAAUUCCAAGAGAAAGCUCUGCCAUGGCAGAGAAUGAAAGAGACGAUGGAGAGAAAGGGGAAACGGGAAAAAGAGGAGCGAAAAUCAGAAGAAAACUUUAAUUCUUUUUUAGAUUUGAA